Molecule: unclassified non-coding RNA, 369 nt
Filed under: Brickellia coulteri
Lineage: Eukaryota; Viridiplantae; Streptophyta; Magnoliopsida; Asterales; Asteraceae
Description: partial external transcribed spacer
Source: RNAcentral
ACUUUCAUGUUAGACACAACCCAACACGCWGGCACAACACCAAUGCGAAUUGAGCAGUCAUUUUAGGGACAAUAGAAAUGGGACAUAACAAGGAUCACAUGCGACCCAUGCCCACAUCAAGUUCCAUAUUAAAGAGACCAAGCAGUGUUCAAUACACCACUACAUCAACACAYAAGUUAAUGAUGUGGUUCAAAGAGACAGCAUUAAGGUUUUAUCUGAUGUCAUGAGCAUGACACAAGACGAAAGGAACUCUGAUGCAACCCAAAAAGAUGCCUUAUGUGAGAGGCAAGCAAAACACAAGAAACCCACAAUUUGGUUAGGCAUGAAAGCCAUAACAUAUGAAAGCAAGGUAUGUCAGGUGGAAGUUGU